RNAcentral lists this ribosomal RNA (253 nucleotides) under uncultured prokaryote. RNAcentral describes it as "partial 16S ribosomal RNA". It matches the Rfam family "Bacterial small subunit ribosomal RNA", at positions 524 to 776 of the family's 1533-position model. The record is from RNAcentral.
GACGAACCGUGCGAACGUUGUUCGGAUUCACUGGGCUUAAAGGGCGCGUAGGCGGGCGACCAAGUCAGGGGUGAAAUCUUUCGGCCCAACCGGAAAAGUGCCCCUGAUACUGGCCGUCUCGAGGGGGGUAGGGGCAUGCGGAACUUCCGGUGGAGCGGUGAAAUGCGUAGAUAUCGGAAGGAACGCCGGUGGCGAAAGCGGUUACCUGGGCUUGUUCUGACGCUGAGGCACAAAAGCUGGGGGAGCAAACGGG